GGUAAACGGCCCACCAAGGCGACGAUGUCUAGGGGCUCUGAGAGGAGAAACCCCCACACUGGUACUGAGACACGGACCAGACUCCUACGGGAGGCAGCAGUAAGGAAUAUUGGUCAAUGGGGGGAACCCUGAACCAGCCAUGCCGCGUGCAGGAAGACGGCCCUACGGGUUGUAAACUGCUUUUGCACGGGAAUAACCCCCGGUAUGUAUACCGGGCUGAAUGUACCGUGAGAAUAAGGAUCGGCUAACUCCGUGCCAGCAGCCGCGGUAAUACGGAGGAUCCGAGCGUUAUCCGGAAUUAUUGGGUUUAAAGGGUGCGUAGGCGGCGCGCUAAGUCAGGGGUGAAAGACGGUGGCUCAACCAUCGCAGUACCUUUGAUACUGGCGCGCUUGAAUGUACCUGAGGUAGGCGGAAUGUGGCAAGUAGCGGUGAAAUGCAUAGAUAUGCCACAGAACACCGAUUGCGAAGGCAGCUUACCAAAGUACGAUUGACGCUGAGGCACGAAAGCGUGGGGAUCGAACAGGAUUAGAUACCCUGGUAGUCCACGCCCUAAACGAUGAACACUCGAUGUCGGCGAUAGACAGUCGGCGUCCAAGCGAAAGCGUUAAGGUCCAC
This 615-nucleotide ribosomal RNA is filed under the name uncultured Bacteroidota bacterium. Its description in RNAcentral is "bacterial SSU rRNA". It matches the Rfam family "Bacterial small subunit ribosomal RNA", at positions 255 to 872 of the family's 1533-position model. The record is from RNAcentral. Lineage: Bacteria; Pseudomonadati; Bacteroidota.